CCUACGGGUGGCUGCAGUCGAGAAUCAUUCACAAUGGGGGAAACCCUGAUGGUGCGACGCCGCGUGGGGGAAUGAAGGUCUUCGGAUUGUAAACCCCUGUCAUGUGGGAGCAAAUUAAAAAGAUAGUACCACAAGAGGAAGAGACGGCUAACUCUGUGCCAGCAGCCGCGGUAAUACAGAGGUCUCAAGCGUUGUUCGGAAUCACUGGGCGUAGAGCGUGCGUAGGCUGUUUCGUAAGUCGUGUGUGAAAGGCGCGGGCUCAACCCGCGGACGGCACAUGAGACUGCGAGACUAGAGUAAGGGAGCGGGAACCGGAAGUCUCGGUGUAGCAGUGAAAUGGGUAGAUAUCGAGAGGAACACUCGUGGCGAAGGCGGGUUCCUGGACAUUAACUGACGCUGAGGCACGAAGGCCAGGGGAGCGAAAGGGAUUAGAUACCCCUGUAGUC
RNAcentral lists this ribosomal RNA (446 nucleotides) under uncultured bacterium. Its description in RNAcentral is "partial 16S ribosomal RNA". It matches the Rfam family "Bacterial small subunit ribosomal RNA", at positions 338 to 795 of the family's 1533-position model. The record is from RNAcentral.